RNAcentral lists this ribosomal RNA (496 nucleotides) under uncultured bacterium. RNAcentral's name for it is "partial 16S ribosomal RNA". It matches the Rfam family "Bacterial small subunit ribosomal RNA", at positions 30 to 523 of the family's 1533-position model. The record is from RNAcentral.
AUUGAACGCUGGCGGCAUGCUUUACACAUGCAAGUCGAACGGUAGAGGGGGCAACCCCUUGAGAGUGGCGAACGGGUGAGUAAUGCAUCGGAACGUGCCCAGUCGUGGGGGAUAACGCAGCUAAAGCUGUGCUAAUACCGCAUACGAUCUCUGGAUGAAAGCGGGGGACCGAAAGGCCUCGCGCGAUUGGAGCGGCCGAUGUCAGAUUAGGUAGUUGGUGGGGUAAAGGCCUACCAAGCCGACGAUCUGUAGCUGGUCUGGGAGGACGACCAGCCACACUGGGACUGAGACACGGCCCAGACUCCUACGGGAGGCAGCAGUGGGGAAUUUUGGACAAUGGGCGCAAGCCUGAUCCAGCCAUGCCGCGUGCGGGAAGAAGGCCUUCGGGUUGUAAACCGCUUUUGUCAGGGAAGAAAUCCUUUGGGUUAAUACCUCGGGGGGAUGACGGUACCUGAAGAAUAAGCACCGGCUAACUACGUGCCAGCCGCCGCAGUAA